This is a long non-coding RNA of Neopelma chrysocephalum (saffron-crested tyrant-manakin), 595 nucleotides long. RefSeq lists it as uncharacterized. The transcript is spliced from 3 exons. Lineage: Eukaryota; Metazoa; Chordata; Aves; Passeriformes; Pipridae. The record is from RefSeq and is a predicted model, not a curated record.
GGCUGCUGAGGGAUUCUUGAAACGUUACAAAACCAAGCCUGCAGUGGGUUAUCCAGGGGCAGCUGUAGGACCCAGCAGGCAGCAAUGCAAACCCUUCAACAACGUGUGGGGUUUUGUAGUCUGACAGACUUGUUCUAGCCAUUGUGACAGAGGAGGAGUUCUGUGAGAUAUAUAGGAAAGUUUCUUCUGUUUUGUUACCCCUGAACAGUGGUUUCAGCAUGGGGACAGUCCCACGGACACGAGGUUUUUCAGCCUUUUCAAUGGUUUACAGUCAGAGCAGCAGAACAGGGUUCAGUGUUAGGCAGGACCCCCAGAGCAGAGCCAGGUCCCUCCCAGGCAGGCGAAGGACGGUGCUGGAGCUGAGCUGCGUUCAGGAGCAACCUACACGGAUCACAGGGAGCCAGGGACAGCACUCGUGACAGGGCACUGUGACAAUUCUUUAGAGGAGAAUAUUCCAAGCAGCUUCACCAUCAGUUUAAUGUUUCAGAAUCAUUCUGGUAGCAACUUAUGUAGCACUGACACAAAAGAAGGAAGAGCGAAGCCUGUGUGAAAUGUGCCUUCAGCUGGACAUGGAAACUGCUGAGCUGUUUCUGAG